AGUUGGAAACGACUGCUAAUACCGCAUAAGCCCACAGGUCGGCAUCGACCAGAGGGAAAAGGAGCAAUCCGCUUUGAGAUGGCCUCGCGUCCGAUUAGCUAGUUGGUGAGGUAAUGGCCCACCAAGGCAACGAUCGGUAGCCGGACUGAGAGGUUGAACGGCCACAUUGGGACUGAGACACGGCCCAGACUCCUACGGGAGGCAGCAGUGGGGAAUAUUGCACAAUGGGGGAAACCCUGAUGCAGCGACGCCGCGUGGAGGAAGAAGGUCUUCGGAUUGUAAACUCCUGUUGUUGAGGAAGAUAAUGACGGUACUCAACAAGGAAGUGACGGCUAACUACGUGCCAGC
RNAcentral lists this ribosomal RNA (348 nucleotides) under uncultured bacterium. RNAcentral describes it as "bacterial SSU rRNA". It matches the Rfam family "Bacterial small subunit ribosomal RNA", at positions 148 to 512 of the family's 1533-position model. The record is from RNAcentral.